RNAcentral lists this ribosomal RNA (2986 nucleotides) under Nitrosotalea sinensis. Its description in RNAcentral is "bacterial LSU rRNA". It matches the Rfam family "Archaeal large subunit ribosomal RNA". The record is from RNAcentral. Lineage: Archaea; Thermoproteati; Nitrososphaerota; Nitrososphaeria; Nitrosotaleales; Nitrosotaleaceae.
CCGACGCCAAUAGAGGGAUGGCUUGGCUUGAGAAGAGAUGAAGGACGUGGCAAGCUGCGAUAAGCUUAGGGUAGGUGCAGGCGACCUAUGAUCCUGAGAUGUCCGAAUUGGAAUCCUAUGCGUAAGCAUACUCAAUUACAAUGGUAGUUGAGAUCGAACCGUGGGAAGUGAAGCAUCUGAGUACCACGUGGAAAAGAAAUCAACAGAGAUUUCCCAAGUAGCGGCGAGCGAAAAGGAAAUAGCCCAAACUGAAUCUGCCAUGGUAACAUGGUAGAGAUGUGGUGUUGUUAUGGUAUUACGAUCCUCAAAUCAGAGCUUAAGUGGCCUGGAAAGGCCUGGCGAAGAAGGUGAUACCCCCGUGAGCGAAGGAAGAGAGGAUCUUACUAUAACGUGAGUAGUUGUCCUUGGUAGUGGGCAAUGAAUUUAGGUGAAAGUAGCAUCUAAGGCUAAAUAUUUCUCAAGACCGAUAGCGGAGUAGUACCGCGAGGGAAAGCUGAAAAGUACCCCGGAAGGGGGGUGAAAAGUGCCUGAAAUCUAUUGGUUACAGACGUGCAUGGCAUGAAAGGGGUUUUUGUCAGAUUGGAGGUUCUAGCAAUAGGGCUGAAGGUCUGGCGUUCAUAGCUCCAGUGUCAUGCGUUCCGUCUAGAAACACGGGCCAGGGAGCUUACUGUUAUGGCGAGCCUAAAUCUGCAAAAGAUGGAGGCGAAGGGAAACCAAGUUCCCGCAGUGAAUAACGAGGGGAAGCGUGUGAAAGUGCGUAGAGUCAUAGCGGUAAGGCUAGAAACCAGACGAUCUAUCCCUGAACAAGACGAAGUUGGGCGAAAGCCUGAUGGAGGUCUGAAGCAGUUCUAACGUGCAAUUUGUUUGUCUGAUUUGGGGAUAGGGGUCAAAAACCAAUCUAGUCUGGUGAUCGCUAGUUCCUAACGAAGUGUAUCGCAGUACAGCCUUUAUGGAGACAGCGUGUCUUGUAGAGCACCGAUAGGGCAUGUCGGGAGAGAAAUCUUUCGCUGCCUAUUCAAACUCCGAAGAGAUGUGCGUCUAAGAAGUAAAGAGACGGAUUUACGUGGCGUAAGGCUCGUAAUCAAGAGGGGGACAACCCAGACUGAAGUUAAGGUCCCCAAGUUUUUGCUAAGUGUCAAACUGAAGGGCGUAUUUAAGCCAAGACAGCAGGGAGGUAAGCUCAGAAGCAGCUAUCCUUUAAAAAGUGCGUAACAGCUUACCUGCCGAGCUUGGAUGCCCCAAAAAUGGACGGGGCUAAAGCAAAGCACCGAUACUUCAGAUUGUUACCAUAGGUAACACAUGGUAGUUAGGCGUAGGGAUUGGGUCGAAGCAGGGUCGUGAGAUCCUGUGGACCGAUUCCUAUUGCAGAUCCUGGCGGCAGUAACAGCAUAGUGGAGUGAGAAUCUCCACCAUCGUAAGCGUAAGGGUUUCCCGGCAAUGCGUCGUCAGCCGGGAGUUAGUCGAUCCUAAGAUCAACCUCAACAGAGUUGAUCGAACGGGAAACUUGUUAAUAUUCAAGUACCUUAUAGGUGCGUUAUAAUCUAGCAUUCGCUUUCGGAUAGGGCAAGCAGAACCAUCGUUCUGUCUAAGUAUUCAAGAGUUGGGGAGUGUCGCAAUGACGAGAACCAACUCGAGAUGCGAAUGGCUUGGCGUUAGCUGAGUUUGCUCAAGUCCAAGAGACCAUGAAAAAAUGCGUAGUGAGUGGCCUGUAAUGAUCGUACCGAGAUCCGACACAGGUGCGCUGGAUGAGAAGUCUAAGAUGUAUCGGGUAUACCGUAGGCGAGGGAACUCGGCAAAAUAGUCCUGUACCUUUGGUAUAAGGGAUGCCUGCAGCGGUAAUGUAGAAUUGCCAUCGCAGGUCGCAGUGACAAGGGGGUCCCGACUGUUUAAUAAAAACACAGGUGACUGCUAGUCCGAAAGGAUGCGUAUAGUCACUGAAUCCUGGCCAGUGCAGGUACCUAAAACUUGGGUUCAACUGAGCUAAGGGCCUGUAAACGCCGGGAGUAACUCUGACUCUCUUAAGGUAGCCAAAUGCCUUGUCGGGUAAGUUCCGACGUGCAUGAAUGGAACAACGAGGGCCCCGCUGUCCCCGCCUACAACCCGGUGAAGCCACAUAAGCUGGACGAACAGUCCAGCAUCUUCCAUCGGGGAGAGAAGACCCCGUGGAGUUUUACUGCAGCUUGUGCUUGCGGUAUGGUGGAAAUUGCAUAGAGUAACUGGUAGCCAUGCUAAUGUUCUUUCGGGGACAUUGGAAGCAAAAGUGUAACACCAGUCAUUUUCCUUCGUACUGCUUACCCCAUUAAUUUGGGGGACAGGUGCAGGUGGGCAGUUCGGCUGGGGCGGCACCCCUUUGAAAAGAUAUCAAAGGGGCCCAAAGUUCGGUUCAAACGGGUCAGAAAUCCGUUGAAGAGGGCAAGGCCACAAACUGGACUGACUGGAUCUCCAAACGCACGGGAUUCAGAGAAGAAAUUCGGGCCUAGCGAUCCAUGACGUCCCCACUAUUGGGGGCUCGUGGUGACAGAAAAAUUACCCCAGGGAUAACAGGCUCGUCGCGGGCGAGAGCUCCUAUCGACCCCGCGGUUUGGUACCUCGAUGUCGGCUUUUCCCAUCCUGGCCCUGCAGCAGGGGCCAAGGGUGAGGCUGCUCGCCUAUUAAAGGGGAACAUGAGCUGGGUUUAGACCGUCGUGAGACAGGUCGGACUCUGCCUGAUGGAAGCGUGGAUACUUGAGGGGAAGUUGCUCCGAGUACGAGAGGAACAGAGCAGCGUGGCCUCUGGUUUAACGGUUGUCUGAUAAGGCAGGCCGUGCAGCUAAGCCAUUUAGGCUAACUCCUGAAAGCAUCUAAGGAGGAAACCUAUCCUGAGAAAAGGUAUCCGGUCGUAAGACAAAGGGUGGCAGCAGAAGACUGCUUUGAUAGAACAGCAGUGUAUGCUCCAAGGUUCGCCGAGGGGCGAGCUGGCUGUUACUAACAACCCAAUACAUCAGUC